RNAcentral lists this ribosomal RNA (468 nucleotides) under uncultured bacterium. RNAcentral describes it as "partial 16S ribosomal RNA". It matches the Rfam family "Bacterial small subunit ribosomal RNA", at positions 28 to 507 of the family's 1533-position model. The record is from RNAcentral.
GACGAACGCUGGCGGCGUGCUUAACACAUGCAAGUCGAACGGAAAGGCCCUGCUUUUGUGGGGUGCUCGAGUGGCGAACGGGUGAGUAACACGUGAGUAACCUGCCCUUGACUUUGGGAUAACUUCAGGAAACUGGGGCUAAUACCGGAUAGGAGCUCCUGCUGCAUGGUGGGGGUUGGAAAGUUUCGGCGGUUGGGGAUGGACUCGCGGCUUAUCAGCUUGUUGGUGGGGUAGUGGCUUACCAAGGCUUUGACGGAUAGCCGGCCUGAGAGGGGGACCGGCGACCAUGGGACUGAGAGACGGCCCAGACGCCUACGGGAGGCAGCAGUGGGGAGUAUUGCACAGUGGGCGGAAGCCUGAUGCAGCAACGCCGCGUGCGGGAUGACGGCCUUCGGGUUGUAAACCGCUUUCGCCUGUGACGAAGCGUGCGUGACGGUAAUGGGUAAAGAAGCGCCGGCUAACUACGUG